RNAcentral lists this ribosomal RNA (164 nucleotides) under uncultured bacterium. Its description in RNAcentral is "partial 16S rRNA". It matches the Rfam family "Bacterial small subunit ribosomal RNA", at positions 355 to 511 of the family's 1533-position model. The record is from RNAcentral.
UAGGGAAUCUUCGGCAAUGGACGAAAGUCUGACCGAGCAACGCCGCGUGAGUGAAGAAGGUUUUCGGAUCGUAAAACUCUGUUGGUAGAGAAGAACGUUGGUGAGAGUGGAAAGCUCAUCAAGUGACGGUAACUACCCAGAAAGGGACGGCUAACUACGUCCAG